RNAcentral lists this ribosomal RNA (481 nucleotides) under uncultured bacterium. RNAcentral describes it as "bacterial SSU rRNA". It matches the Rfam family "Bacterial small subunit ribosomal RNA", at positions 774 to 1254 of the family's 1533-position model. The record is from RNAcentral.
AGUAAAUAGAUACCCAGGUAGUCCACGCCGUAAACGAUGAGUACUAGGUGUAGGAGGUAUCGACUCCUUCUGUGCCGCAGUUAAACACAAUAAGUACUCCGCCUGGGAAGUACGGUCGCAAGAUUAAAACUCAAAGGAAUUGACGGGGGCCCGCACAAGCAGCGGAGCAUGUGGUUUAAUUCGAAGCAACGCGAAGAACCUUACCUAGACUUGACAUCCCCUGAAUAACGUAGAGAUACGCGAAGCCCUUCGGGGCAGGGAGACAGGUGGUGCAUGGUUGUCGUCAGCUCGUGUCGUGAGAUGUUGGGUUAAGUCCCGCAACGAGCGCAACCCUUAUCAUUAGUUGCUACCAUUUAGUUGAGCACUCUAGUGAGACUGCCCGGGUUAACCGGGAGGAAGGCGGGGAUGACGUCAAAUCAUCAUGCCCCUUAUGUCUAGGGCUACACACGUGCUACAAUGGUGAGAACAACGAGAUGCAAUA